AGUAGAUCUUUCUAAUUCUUUCUCAAAGUCCUUUAUUUCAGGAUAUUUGCAAAGCAAACAGCCUUAGAAGAGAGAGAUCAUGUCUGCCAGCAGAGCAAAGGGGUCAUGUCUUCUCCCAGCUCCCAUGAAACUGUGACAGUUGCAAGGAAGGUGAAAUCUCAGAACUUUUACAGUUCUUGCCAAUAAACUUAAAUUUAUAUACUGUG
This is a long non-coding RNA of Suricata suricatta (meerkat), 206 nucleotides long. RefSeq lists it as uncharacterized. NCBI's taxonomy places the organism in Eukaryota, Metazoa, Chordata, Mammalia, Carnivora, Herpestidae. The transcript has 2 exons. The record is from RefSeq and is a predicted model, not a curated record.